GUUCAGUUACAGGCAUUCGACUUUCAAACAUCUUUCCGGCACGUAAUGACGUGGUUGCAUAAAAAAUUUGGCUUUUAUAUCGUUUGUCAUCGUUCAUUUUUACAAGUUUUCGCUAUGAGUGAUGCAAUAUUUUUUGCUUUGCUGACUGUUUGGCAGCAAAUACUUUAACGGCAACAAACUGUUUAUUGAAAAAACAUUGAAUAUUUGACAAAAAGGCCAUGAGACAAUAGGAGCGAACCACGAGGCAAAGCCGUAAGUGUCGUCAUCAUGGAAGGAGAAAUAUCCUAAGGUCAAUCCAGAGCUUACAAUAUCACUCAAAGCUCACGAGGUUUGACAUUUCAUCCUCGUAAGUGAAGCUGGGAUUAACAAGGAUUACAAGGUUAUCCAACAGGUGUUGAUUGGGAUCGAACACAAUGGGCAGUAAUUUCACAAUCUCCUCGAUGGGUUUGGCUAAUGUGAUUUCCGUGUCUUCGUCGCGCCUCUGCCAUCGUCCAAUUAACAGGAUUUUUUUUAUGAAUGCGUCACAUUUCACCGUGUGGGGCACAACUGAAAUGGAAAAAUGGACGUCAUUUAGAGGACGAGUGAUGAUUCAUACUUUUUGGGAUUAUGGUCUGGUGUGAUGAUGAUCGAUGGUCAGCGAAUCGGACCUCUAAAGUGAAAAGAAAUUCAAGAAUUCGUGAGAAGACCGCACAACCGUGUAAUCCAUGUCUGAGUUAUAUGCAUCAGCGGAAGAAAAAAAAGAAAGAAAGAAAAAUAUGUAUAUAUUCCUGUGAAGACAUUUUUCAAUCGCAGGAAAUAACGCAGAGAUAGCAAGAAAGUUGCUGAUUCUAACCCAAAAAAAAAAGAAAAACGAAUUCCAAACAAGCGAAGCAACGAGCAAAACUAUUGUUAGAUAAUUGGCCUUGACAGGCUUUACCUUACGACUUGCUGUUAGGAUCGUAAAAGCCCCAAAACAGCUGCCUUCUCUAUUCACUUGGCCCCCUCAUCCUUCGUUGUGGCGUUAUUCGUCAACAAUAGUCUAAUGUUAAAAGUAGGUUUGUUUUGUUUUUUUUCACCAACUUUCUUAUUCUUUUAUUCAUCUUGUUGUUGUUUCUUCUUUUUUUUUUAAGCAUGUGCCAUUUCCUUAUCCGCUGAAAUAGAUUGACUGCAUCUAAAUUUUUGUUUGAAUACUUAAACUGAAGGCUCUUUUCCGUUUGAAUAAAAACCCAUCAGACGUCCUGUCGAGUUGGCACAAAGAAGGAACGGCGUGCAAAGCGAAUAGUCGUGGAAUAGCUAGUAUACUACCACUAAGCCCGAUAUACAACGUGACGAAGCAGAAGCUGUCUAGUAAAGAACAUUUGAAGCAUGAAGGUAAACAGGCUGCUGUCAAAUGAAGUUUUUCUCUCAAAUAUUUAUCUUGCAAUUUUCUGGGUACCAUGACAAUAUUUCCGAAUCUGUUUUGUUUUUGUAUGAGGAAUAAACAGCGAAAAUAAGCUAUUCCCUAAGUCUCUCCGCGAUAAACUUGAUCGUUAUCACUGAUUUAUCAUCAAGGUUUACUGAGAAUGCGCAGUACCGUCUCCAGAGUUAAACAGAAGGGACACUUAAAUGGAAAAAGCCAGCAGUCGACGCAUAGCUAUUUAACCGUUUUUCAAGGGAAAUCGAUAGUGGCGUUCGUAGCGGUGAUUCUGAGAAACAAAGUUGCUGCAGAGCUACUGAUAGUAAACAAGCAUACACUCUUAGCUGCUUAAAACUGCCGCUGCUAUGCCUUCGGUUUUUGAAAAUCGGCCACUAGGGGCGCUCUUAUACAAUUUCGUCGGAAAGGCGGGGAAUAAGUGUCGACUGCUGAAUUUUCUGUUUUUUUUUGUAUUUGACCAUCUCUUAAUUGGCAACGUGAUACAAUCUAACGAAUAAUCUAUGACUUUGUCCAAAUUUAUGGACACUUAAGCUAUUUCAUUAAAAGUAAGUUAUUCAGCUAUGAUUUAGUGCCUGCUUUUCCUUGUUCUUUAACUGUGUUACCCUUGUAAGUUAUUAAAAAUUGUGCUGAUUAAACAUUCUUCAACCGUCUGAUUCCAACUUAGAUAUACAAAACCUGAAAGUUAAUAAAAAGAUAUCCUGCUGCAUUGCCGGUUUCAAUUCA
RNAcentral lists this long non-coding RNA (2116 nucleotides) under Daphnia magna. Its description in RNAcentral is "uncharacterized LOC116930908, transcript variant X1". The record is from RNAcentral. Lineage: Eukaryota; Metazoa; Arthropoda; Branchiopoda; Diplostraca; Daphniidae.